This 162-nucleotide small nuclear RNA is filed under the name Castor canadensis (American beaver). Its description in RNAcentral is "U1 spliceosomal RNA (ENSCCNG00000011668.1)". It matches the Rfam family "U1 spliceosomal RNA". Rfam says of the family: U1 is a small nuclear RNA (snRNA) component of the spliceosome (involved in pre-mRNA splicing). Its 5' end forms complementary base pairs with the 5' splice junction, thus defining the 5' donor site of an intron. The record is from Rfam by way of RNAcentral. Lineage: Eukaryota; Metazoa; Chordata; Mammalia; Rodentia; Castoridae.
AUACUUACCUGGCAGGGGAGAUACCAUGAUCACAAAGGUGGUUUUCCCAGGGCGAGGCUUACCCAUUGCACUCCGAUGUGCUGACCCCUGCGAUUUCCCCAAAUGUGGGAAACUCGACUGCAUAAUUUGUGGUAGUGGAGACUGUGUUCACGCUGUCCCCUG